This 661-nucleotide ribosomal RNA is filed under the name Psychrobacter sp. MMRF719. RNAcentral's name for it is "bacterial SSU rRNA". It matches the Rfam family "Bacterial small subunit ribosomal RNA", at positions 330 to 983 of the family's 1533-position model. The record is from RNAcentral. Lineage: Bacteria; Pseudomonadati; Pseudomonadota; Gammaproteobacteria; Moraxellales; Moraxellaceae.
CCCGGACUCCUACGGGAGGCAGCAGUGGGGAAUAUUGGACAAUGGGGGGAACCCUGAUCCAGCCAUGCCGCGUGUGUGAAGAAGGCCUUUUGGUUGUAAAGCACUUUAAGCAGUGAAGAAGACUCUUCGGUUAAUACCCGGGGACGAUGACAUUAGCUGCAGAAUAAGCACCGGCUAACUCUGUGCCAGCAGCCGCGGUAAUACAGAGGGUGCAAGCGUUAAUCGGAAUUACUGGGCGUAAAGCGAGCGUAGGUGGCUUGAUAAGUCAGAUGUGAAAUCCCCGGGCUUAACCUGGGAACUACAUCUGAAACUGUUAGGCUAGAGUAGGUGAGAGGGAAGUAGAAUUUCAGGUGUAGCGGUGAAAUGCGUAGAGAUCUGAAGGAAUACCGAUGGCGAAGGCAGCUUCCUGGCAUCAUACUGACACUGAGGCUCGAAAGCGUGGGUAGCAAACAGGAUUAGAUACCCUGGUAGUCCACGCCGUAAACGAUGUCUACUAGUCGUUGGGUCCCUUGAGGACUUAGUGACGCAGCUAACGCAAUAAGUAGACCGCCUGGGGAGUACGGCCGCAAGGUUAAAACUCAAAUGAAUUGACGGGGGCCCGCACAAGCGGUGGAGCAUGUGGUUUAAUUCGAUGCAACGCGAAGAACCUUACCUGGUCUUG